This 750-nucleotide ribosomal RNA is filed under the name uncultured bacterium. RNAcentral's name for it is "bacterial SSU rRNA". It matches the Rfam family "Bacterial small subunit ribosomal RNA", at positions 33 to 794 of the family's 1533-position model. The record is from RNAcentral.
UCGCGUGGGGGGGCGUAAGAUUGCACCUCGAACGAGCUUAUAUCUUGCUUGCAGAUAAGCGGCUAGUGGCCCCCUUAAGAGUACACGUAGGAAAUCUGCCUAUCAGAGUGUCCUUUCAGAGAGAAAUCAUUGCUAAUACCGCAUAUGCCAUAGGGUUCGCAUGAACCUAGUGGGAAAGGAGCAAUCCCCUGAUAGAUGAGCUUGCGUCUGAUUAGCUAGUUGGUGGGGUUUUUUUCUACCAAGGCAACGAUCAGUAGCCGGACUGAUAGGUUGAACGGCCACAUUGGGACUGAGAUACGGCCCAGACUCCUACGGGAGGCAGCAGUCGGGAAUAUUGCGCAAUGGAGGAAACUCUGACGCAGUGACGCCGCGUAUAGGAAGAAGGUUUUCGGAUUGUAAACUAUUGUCCACAGGUAUUAUAAAAGACUGUACCUGUGAAGAAAGCUCCGUGUUAUCUACGUGCCAGCAGCCGCGGUAAUACGUAUGGAUUUUGCGUUAUCCGGAAUUAUUGGGUGUAAAGGGUGCGUAGACGGGAUAACAAGUUGGUUGUGAAACCCCUCGGCUUAACUGAGGAACUGCAACCAAAACUAUUAUUCUUGAGUGCCUGAGAGGAAAGUGGAAUUCCUAGUGUACCGGCGAACUGCGUAUAUAUUAUGAAGAACACCGGUGGCGAAGGCGACUCUUCUGGACUGUAACUGACGUUGAUGCACGAAAGUGUGUAGAACAAACAGGAUUAAAUACCCUGGUAAU